UUGGUGUGUAGACAAUACAAAUGUUUAAAUUUAUUAAGUAAAUAUUAUUUGAGUUUUAUCAUGACCAAUGCCAUUAGCCAUGAGUUUCUGUUUCACUUGGUUAUUUCUCCUGGGAAGAUAAGAAAGCCCACGUGUAUGUUCAACAUUUUCUCUAAAUUUUGGUGCUCCUGAACUGAAGUUCCAAAGGAUGGUUUGGGGACCAGCAAGUUUUCACAUCAUAUCAUCACCUUCCUUCCAGAGCUGGAGCUACCGAGCAGCACCCUGGAAUGGUGAGGGUGAACUGGACCAAGCUGUGAGAUGUGGAGUGGCUGGCUGCAGAGGUGCUCAGACCAUGCAUUUACCCCUGCAAAGUGGACCCUGAGCUACACUGCUUGCUUCCCCCAG
This 384-nucleotide long non-coding RNA is filed under the name Fukomys damarensis (Damara mole-rat). Its description in RNAcentral is "lncRNA (ENSFDAG00000030544.1)". The record is from RNAcentral. Lineage: Eukaryota; Metazoa; Chordata; Mammalia; Rodentia; Bathyergidae.